CCCUUAGAUGUCCUGGGCCGCACGCGCGCUACACUGAGUGUCUGAGAUACGAGUCUGCCUGGUCCGGCAAGGUCUAGGUAAUCGCUAAAAGACACAUCAUGCUUGGGAUAGAUUAUUGCAAAUAUUAAUCUUGACCGAGGAAUUCCUAGUAAGCGCAAGUCAACAGCUUGCGUUGAUUACGUCCCUGCCCUUUGUACACACCGCCCGUCGCUACUACUGAUUGGAUGUUUAAGCGAGGUUCUCGAACUGCUAGCGACUUAGCUUCGGUGAGGUCGCAGUGUGGGAAGUGAACCUAGCUUUGGUGUCUAGAGGAAGUAAAAGUCGUAACA
Molecule: ribosomal RNA, 329 nt
Filed under: uncultured eukaryote
Lineage: Eukaryota
Description: partial 18S ribosomal RNA
Rfam family: Eukaryotic small subunit ribosomal RNA
Source: RNAcentral